AACGAACGCUGGCGGCAGGCCUAACACAUGCAAGUCGAGCGCGACCUUCGGGUUGAGCGGCGGACGGGUUAGUAACGCGUGGGAAUAUGCCCGGUACUAAGGAAUAGCCUCUGGAAACGGAGAGUAAUACCUUAUACGCCCUUCGGGGAAAGAUUCGAUCGGUAUCGGAUUAGCCCGCGUUAGAUUAAGAUAGUUGGUGGGUAACGGCCUACCAAGUCUACGAUCUAUAGCUGGUUUAGAGGAUGAUCAGCAACACUGGGACUGAGACACGGCCCAGACUCCUACGGGAGGCAGCAGUGGGGAAUCUUGGACAAUGGGCGCAAGCCUGAUCCAGCCAUGCCGCGUGAGUGAUGAAGGCCUUAGGGUCGUAAAGCUCUUUCGCCAGAGAUGAUAAUGACAGUAUCU
This 405-nucleotide ribosomal RNA is filed under the name uncultured bacterium. RNAcentral's name for it is "bacterial SSU rRNA". It matches the Rfam family "Bacterial small subunit ribosomal RNA", at positions 29 to 480 of the family's 1533-position model. The record is from RNAcentral.